Molecule: ribosomal RNA, 266 nt
Filed under: Camponotus grandidieri
Lineage: Eukaryota; Metazoa; Arthropoda; Insecta; Hymenoptera; Formicidae
Description: partial 12S ribosomal RNA
Source: RNAcentral
CGGURUUUWUUUUUUUUAGAGGAACUUGUUUWUUAAAUUGAUAAUCCACGAGUAGAAGAACUUAAUUUUUUUUUAUGUAUUGUUGUUGUAAAAUUAUAUUAAUAGAUAUUAAUUGAUAAAUUUAAUUAAAAUUAUAAUUCAAAUCAAAAUGUAGAAUAAUUAAGAGUUUAAUGAGUUACAAUUAAUUUAAUAAUUGGAAUUUAAAAAUUUAAUUUAUAGAUAAAAUUGGAUUAAAAGUAAAUCUAUAUAAAUAUAUAAAUGAAUAA